AUAAGCAAAGAUAAAAUCGUGACUUUGGGUCUCUGUUAAGGUACACAAAGGGAAUCGAUUUCCAAGAAUUUUGUUCCUUUCCAUUAAUUCUCUAACACUAUCUCUUCUUGCUAAGAGACUAGCCAAUAAUUUGCCUCUUCAGAGCCCAUUGCUGGAUUCAAAAUUAAGGAGACGUGUGUGAACGAAACUGGCACUUAGUGACAUGUCUGUUUGUCGUCGACGGAGAACAGAACACGCUCGAACUGUCAUCCAUAGAUGGGCAGCCACAUGUACGUUUAGAGAGCAAUAAAGCCUUGUUAAUGCUACGGGACAUGGUCCAGCUACUGAUGCAUUGCACGAAGAUAGCUAGCUACUACCGUCCUCGUGCCUUAUCUCAUGAUCUUUUGCCA
This 389-nucleotide long non-coding RNA is filed under the name Populus tremula. RNAcentral describes it as "long non-coding RNA (PTRE_LNC001635)". Lineage: Eukaryota; Viridiplantae; Streptophyta; Magnoliopsida; Malpighiales; Salicaceae. The record is from RNAcentral.